This is a long non-coding RNA of Pan troglodytes (chimpanzee), 3280 nucleotides long. RefSeq lists it as uncharacterized. The record is from RefSeq and is a predicted model, not a curated record. The transcript is spliced from 4 exons. Lineage: Eukaryota; Metazoa; Chordata; Mammalia; Primates; Hominidae.
GGAAAGGAGGGCGUGGCUUCCUGCAUUUGGCGGGGUCUUUGUCUCUCGCUGGCGCUGGCACAGGAGCUUGGGAUCCGUCUCCUCUUUCGCCUCCUCCACCUUGGGAGCCCCGGGCUACUCUCUCACAGCCCUUGUUGCCCUGUGAUCUGAAGGUCCUUGGGGACGCAUAGUUAAGGUGCCAGGACAUCCUGGAAGCUGGGAAAUGUGUGAAGAUUUCUUCCAGACCAUGGCUGGAGAAGGAAAGAAGGUGUGUUUUGCCUGAUUCAGGGACUAUAGAGAGAACCAAGUUCUGCAGGCCUGUCACCUAAGUCUCAGGGCGGAGAGACCUUCCUUCCCCACGGGUUUGAGACUAUGGCUAAGUGGUGAGCCUUGGGGAGAUGCAGAAAGGAUCCAUCCCAGGCACUUGGCUAGAGGGCAAGAAAGCUUUCUAAGACCCCGAACUCCAGAUAUGCGAUGGGGCAAAUCCUGAAGUGUACAUGGCUAUCUCUCACAGCUAAAGCAUCCCUCACCCCUAUCCAGCGCUUCUUACCCCUGGCGCAAGAGAAUCACCUGCGGGGAGGAAAACUUUCAAAAUCCCUUAAACUGAAGUUGUAACCGCUCAAUUAAAUCAGAAUCCUUGGAGCUGGAUCUGAAAAAAAAUAUGGUUGAAAGUUGUGCAGGUGAUUACAAUGUGUAGGCAAGCCACAAAACCAUGGCUUUAACCAGGAGCUUUUGUUAGAAAUGAUUUCUCAAAUGAAUGUAAAAACGUUUGCUGCUGAAUUGUGACCUUUCAAUUUUACCUGCUUUUCUUGCAAAGUAUAUUUUGCAGACCCAGGCAGUGCUGCUCCCUCUGUUCCUGAUUCACCCAGUACUGUGUGUGCUCAGUGCAUCCUGUGCACGGAUCAUUGUGUGCCCUGGCCUGGGUGAGCAUCAUUCUUCGGGGAGAACCUUUCUGAAAACAAAGCUGCAUUCCAAAAAGUUAAAACCAUGCUACUUACAGUGUUGAAGUAAAAAUUAAAAGACCCAGGGGGGCUCACCCAAAAGUUAAAACAUAAAUAAAUAACUUGGAACAUUAACAUACACCUGAUGAUGUCCUGAGUGAACACGCCCCACUUUAAAACAAAACAAAACAUUGCUAUUAUUCUAAAAUAUUAAUUUAAGAUUGUUAUGCAAAUAUGUACUCUUUAAAUUUUUAUUGAUGUAUAACAUGCAUACAGCAAUAUAGGCACAAAACAUUUAGGGAAUGCUUGAUGAAUUAUUACUAAAUAAGUGCACUUGUGUAUAUAAGAAUCAGAUUUGUUCAUGCCCUUGACACUUUCUCCUUCCCAAAGGUAACCAAGAUCUUAAGAUCUAAGUGCAGAUAAACUUUGUCAUUUUCUACAAGUGUUUUAUUACAGAUCAUUAAAAAAGUAUACACAAUACAAAAAAAGUAUAACAGACCAGUCACCCAGCUUUAACAGCUACUAGUCAUUGUCAUUUUUGUUUUAUCUAUACUUCCAGCCAUGCCCCCACCCCCAAUUUCAUUAUUGUUUUUAGGCUUUUUGGAUAAAGCGUAUAUUCAUUGCAAGGUACAAUGCCAACUGUAAAUAGUAGAGAGAUGGGGUUUUGCCAUGUUGGCCAGGCUGGUCUUGAACUCCUGACCUCAGGUGAUCCACUCUCUUCAGCCUCACAAAGUGCUGGGAUUACAGGCGUGAGCCAAUAUACUCGGCCUGAGAAUUCAUAUUUCUAACAAAGUACAAAUCCAUAGGGCACAUGACAACUGCAAUGUCUAUCCACAGUAAAUACGGUUUGAUGAAUAAAUUGAAAGGCAAUUGACUUAAGGUGGGAAAAAAAAACAAUCAAAGCAUGGGUACUAUGUGCCAUCUGUAGGAGCAUUUUGUUAAGAAUGACAAACAAACCAAUUUUAUUGUUUUAAUAACCGAAAUUGGCAAAAUUUCUAGUUUUUCUUUCAUAGGAAUGCUCUUAGCAAGAAAAAAUUUUCAUAUGGUGAGAGCAAAAAUGACAACCAUUUGCAAGUAAAUGUCUUAUGAAAUUAAGUAGCAGAUAUCAAGCUCAUGACCUUCAGAUAGUUACCCCUAACUCAAUCAUUUACAUAGCAAGUGCAGAUAAUUUUCAUAGCUCCCUAUUACAAUUAUAUUUUACUCCCCUUACAAAUUGUGACUGUUUUUAAAUAAAGUUCACUAACUAAAAUUUUGUAUAUGACAUAUGAUAAAUUCCCCUUCAAGUAACCUUAUAUUUACUUAAUUGUGUUAGCCAGUGUCUCUCUACCACCCGAUAAUACUUUGGGAUUCUCCCUCCAUUUGCACAGGCAUCAUAGCUGGGAAACAGGGAUUCAAAAGACCCAGGCUGUUCCCUACAUAUGUUUCCUCCUCCGACAUCAGUUCAUCAGUCAACCAAGUCAAGUGAGAGUGGAGGCCAUGUAUUCCCUCUUAUUCUUGGGCACUCUCCUCCAAGGAGGAAAAGGCCAGGAGGUCCUGUUAGAGGAUGCACUCUGAGAGCCCGGGCUCCCUAAGGUGUGAGAGUUCUAAACAGCAGGUGUAGACUUUCAGGAGUGAGGAAUGAGGCAGGCAUUCCAAACCUGAAGCUUCAUCACCUUUUGUUUCAUCUCAAGACAAUUCUGAAGGGCUGUUUUGGAGCGUGUCUGGAAGGUGAACGUUGAAGAAGAGUGUGGGCUUUGAUGUGACUCAGAUGAGAUCUUUCAUGGGGAGGCAGGAAUUCAAUGCCCAGAAUCUGGGCUGGUGUCUUUGAGGUCAGUAGGUUGCGUCUUUGUAUCCAAGUCCGUUGUUACUAGGUUGGAGGCUGGAGAUUCUAAAUGGCUUCCAGACCGCCUCUCUGAUUCUCUUUGGGAGAUGGGGUCUGAAAAAGACAAUGUCAGUAUUUUGGGGAAAUUCUAGAAAGUCUGCUUGGAAACCUCGGAUGACCUCUUGCCUAGUGCCUAAAUGCUCAAUGUGCAGCUCUAGCCACGUAGAUGCUUGGUAGAUAUAGAGCUGGGUUUCCAUUUAUAUCAGCAAAACCUAUGUCAGAGUUGAAGAAGUAGUCAAGAAAAAGUGUCUGGGUUGCAGGCCGGGGAACAUCUUAAAAGCAAACUUCUAGCCUGCUGACUCUUGGCAAUGAGUGUUGGGUCCUGGCCAAAGUGCCUUGAAAGCAGCAUGAGUCCAAUCCAUGGAUCCAACUUCUAAUGGAGAAAUGUUAAUAUGUUUUCAGUUUGAAUCAAUCAGGGUGAAAUUACCUUGCUAUUGGUUUGCUUACUUUUUAUUGUUUCAUAUAAAAUCUAUGACUAAAUACAUUAAAUACUUAUUGA